Molecule: RNA transcript, 1301 nt
Organism: Cercocebus atys (sooty mangabey)
Lineage: Eukaryota; Metazoa; Chordata; Mammalia; Primates; Cercopithecidae
Gene: RTP1
Gene name: receptor (chemosensory) transporter protein 1
Exons: 2
Source: RefSeq, a predicted model, not a curated record
CUGCUGGAAUGGGACAACUUUCUUUCUAUCCCAUCUUCCUUCGGUCAGAUCCCCUCAGCUGCCCACGCCUGCCCUCACCCUGAGCCUUUCUGCUCUACUUUGAUGGUUUUCUCAGGUUCUGCAUUAACCAGCCUGGAUUCGUAUGCCUCAUCCGUGCACUACAGCAAUCUAAACAUUGCAGCAACAUUCCCAGGAAGCAGAUGCUGCUGUGCAGAUGUGCGUGAGUCUUGAAGACCAAGAACUGUGGGAAAUCAGGCAGGAGAGGGAUUUUCAUAAAUGUGAGCAUCCGGACCACAGACUUGGGGGUCCUGCUCUUCUACAGGCUACUGAUGAGCAGUAUCAGCAGUUCCAUCAUCAUUGCCCUGAUGGGCCUGGGUGGGAAGGGCAGUUUGUGGAGUUGGGCUGGCUGGAAAAUGUUCCUGUGAGUUGGAAGGUUUCUUAAACCCACUCCUAUAUAGGCCUGGGAGGAGAAUUUAGUCAUAGAGCAAAAAUGCCUUAAAACAGGGAAUUUUAUCCUGCCAAAGGCAAGUCAGUGUUAUUUUAAGUUGCUUUGUAAAGGACAGUGUUGGCAUGAUAUGUUUACAAGUUCUGUGAUGACAUACCACCAAGGCAUCCCCAACAGGCUGCAGGCUCCUACUGGAGUGCUUGCAGCUAUGCAACAUUGAGACGCAGCUGCUGUAAACAUAAGAUUUCUGUUUUCUGGUGUUAUCCUGACUAUGAUAAGGAGGGUUUGGUGGGGUCGUCUUAGAAGUUCUGGCGAGGAAGAUUGGGAUUAUAAUUCCAGAAUUGAAAGGACCACGGGGAUCAUCUCACUCCACCCUCUCACUGAACAGAGGAAAACACAGAGUUUUGGAGAGGGAUAUGGAUUUACCCGGGGGCCACAUGGCGUAUUUGCGCUUUUAUUUAGACGGAAAGGGAAGAGUUUCUCUUCCAUUUAUGGCCAGAAAAAGCAUAUAUGAUAGGGGCUAGCAUUGGUCAGGCAAUUAGAAAAAGUCAGUGGGUUUCAACUAAGUGUGGAAGACUUCUGGGUCUGGGAUUUCAGAGGCAGAAUGCUCACCCUCUCUCUGAACUCUGACCUCCUCUCUGUCCAAUAGGAACGUGACCAGAGCAGCAAGAUUCAAGUCACAAUCCCUCAAGGUGCUUCAGGGUAACCAAGGAGGAUGAGCAAGCAGGGCCACCUACAGCUAGAGCAGCUCACUUCUGUCUCUUCUCUAUGUUGGGCCUAACUGAAGAUUUUCAAGAAGAAAAUAUAGGCCGGGUAUGGUGGCUCACAUCUCUGUAAUCCCACUUUGGGAGGCCGA